This 468-nucleotide ribosomal RNA is filed under the name uncultured bacterium. Its description in RNAcentral is "partial 16S ribosomal RNA". It matches the Rfam family "Bacterial small subunit ribosomal RNA", at positions 28 to 507 of the family's 1533-position model. The record is from RNAcentral.
GACGAACGCUGGCGGCGUGCUUAACACAUGCAAGUCGAACGGAAAGGCCCUGCUUUUGUGGGGUGCUCGAGUGGCGAACGGGUGAGUAACACGUGAGUAACCUGCCCUUGACUUUGGGAUAACUUCAGGAAACUGGGGCUAAUACAGGAUAGGAGCUCCUGCUGCAUGGUGGGGGUUGGAAAGUUUCGGCGGUUGGGGAUGGACUCGCGGCGUAUCAGCUUGUUGGUGGGGUAGUGGCUUACCAAGGCUUUGACGGGUAGCCGGCCUGAGAGGGUGACCGGCCACAUUGGGACUGAGAUACGGCCCAGACUCCUACGGGAGGCAGCAGUGGGGAAUAUUGCACAAUGGGCGGAAGCCUGAUGCAGCAACGCCGCGUGCGGGAUGACGGCCUUCGGGUUGUAAACCGCUUUCGCCUGUGACGAAGCGUGAGUGACGGUAAUGGGUAAAGAAGCACCGGCUAACUACGUG